GACGGGACCCGCACAAGCGGUGGAUGAUGUGGAUUAAUUCGAUGCAACGCGAAAACCUUACCUACCCUUGACAUGUCCGGAAUCCCGAAGAGAUUUGGGAGUGCUCGCAAGAGAACCGGAACACAGGUGCUGCAUGGCUGUCGUCAGCUCGUGUCGUGAGAUGUUGGGUUAAGCCCCGCAACGAGCGCAACCCUUGUCAUUAGUUGCCAUCAUUUGGUUGGGCACUCUAAUGAGACUGCCGGUGACAAACCGGAGGAAGGUGGGGAUGACGUCAAGUCCUCAUGGCCCUUAUGGGUAGGGCUUCACACGUCAUACAAUGGUCGGUACAGAGGGUUGCCAACCCGCGAGGGGGAGCUAAUCCCACAAAGCCGAUCGUAGUCCGGAUCGCAGUCUGCAACUCGACUGCGUGAAGUCGGAAUCGCUAGUAAUCGUGGAUCAGCAUGUCACGGUGAAUACGUUCCCGGGUCUU
Molecule: ribosomal RNA, 469 nt
Filed under: uncultured Rhodocyclaceae bacterium
Lineage: Bacteria; Pseudomonadati; Pseudomonadota; Betaproteobacteria; Rhodocyclales; Rhodocyclaceae
Description: bacterial SSU rRNA
Rfam family: Bacterial small subunit ribosomal RNA
Source: RNAcentral